Scatophagus argus is the source of this 4629-nucleotide RNA transcript. It is a transcript of the gene named protein sel-1 homolog 3, with no coding region annotated. The transcript is spliced from 24 exons. Lineage: Eukaryota; Metazoa; Chordata; Actinopteri; Scatophagidae. The record is from RefSeq and is a predicted model, not a curated record.
CAUUGCUUGGGUGUUAAGUGCUGACAUGUAACAAAGCUCCACCUCAACUGGCCUGUGUAUACAGUGAUUGGGUGGGGCUUUGUGCUGUUAAAUAUUUACCUGUGUGUCAGUGCAAGGGAGGUGGAGCAGGAUGAGGUCCGGAUCUUGAGGCUUCUUGUUUCUUGCAGCUUAAAAGCCUUUAUGGAGAAAUCAAUGAAGCCACAGUUUGAGCCGUGGAUUUCCACACACAGCAGACACAUCUGUGUGUUUUUUCUCAGUGUGCAGAUAGUCUGCGGUUUAGACCAAGUGACGCUCCUGAAUCCUCCAGAAGAGGCUCUGCCACACCAUCUUUUGAAAAUACUUUACUCAUGUGAUGAACCUGCCACAGUACAACUGGACUGUAUUGUGUCUUUCGACAACGAUACGACUCCCACAAUACGGUUAAGACAAUGGAGAUGCGUCCCUGGUGACCCCAAAAUUAAAACUCUGGAGAUGAGGCUUCCGGAUUGGUUGGUCUAUCAACCUGAUGGGAUUGUUGAAGACUCCCAGGGUGUGCUGAGUUGUAUUCUCCAGGCAUCAGUCAAGUACAGUGGAUUAUAUGGCAGCGAGAGGUCUGUCGCAGCUCGGGAUGUGGCCAAUUUGCAGCUUAAGCCUUUUUUUAAUCGACCUGUGAAACAGCAUCAACUGUGCAUUGCCUGGAGCACACAGAUGCUGCAGUUUCAACGGUUUUCAAAGCAACAGUGCCCUUGGGAGCAAGAAACACUGCAUUUGCUGUCUUCGAUAUAUGCUUCAACUGGAGAAAGCUUCGGUAUCACAAAGACACUGGACCCUUAUCACAGCGAAUUCCUGGAGUUUUUGCGUGUCAAAGCCAUCUCUUUCCCAUGGUGUAUGUUCACCAUCUGGGUAUUUGUGACCAGAUACUGCCAUGACAUGUGUGGCGUGUUUCACCAUAUCGACUCCUAUAAUGACUACGUCACACCAACACUGUUGCUUACAAAUUCAGGCCAGUUACACAUCCAGAUGAAAGGCGAGUCUGAGGACUCUUCUGCAUUUCUCUCUUCCUUCAAGGUGCCUUUGAGAGAGUGGUGUCAAAUCAGUCUGAUGCUGCAAGGUAGAACGGUGACCGUCUCCAUGGUGUGCAUGAGUAAGGAGCAGAGAACGGCUCAUUCGACGGAACACGUGUUGAAGCAUACUGCCGUGCUGGAUGACACAGAGGGAUAUUUUGUGAUUGGUGGGGGGAAAUACAUAAAAGGCGUGGAAGGUUAUUAUGGACCACUGGUUUACUACCGCAACAGAAUAUCACCUCACAGCACGUCUGACGUUGUUAUUCCAGAUGUUAUUAGGGCUGUGAACCUGACCGGAUGGCUGCAAACCUGUCAAGCAUUUCGUCUUGAGAUGACUGUGAAAAUCAGUGGUUAUUUCCUCAAGGCUAAAAAGGAGACAGGAUCUGAGACCUGUUUUGAUGCUUUUUAUGAGUGGAUGGUAAAGGACAGACUGCCAUCAAAGUGUGGCCCGUGGGAGGGGACUGUCCCUCACAGAAGACAAGCUGCAAGCCUGGCAAAGUUUCUGGCUUUCAAACACAGAGACAGGAGAGUUGGCCUUCCAGUCGUGGGCAGAGCUCUGUACUCCUUAUCACUUCAUCAGCUGGCCAGAGCAGGCAGCACUGGAGUGAUCAGCAGAAUAUUACCGCUGCUGCUCCAAGCCGGCUGCUUAGCUGACACCCGAGCCCUGCACGUGUCGUCUGUGCUCUAUAGCUCUGGCCUUGGAGUCAAGAAAGAUCCCAAUAAGGCUUUCCUCCUGGCCCUGCUGGCAGCCCAGAAGGAUGAUCACUUGGCACUUCUGCAUCUCGGCCAUCUGCACCACCAGGGUCUCCACGGCCUGCCCAAAGACCCAGACUUGGCCUACGCAUAUUAUGCAAACAUUGCAACACAGACCACUUUAGACCGUCAUAAGCCCACACCACAGCAGACAUUCGUUGAGGCUGUUUACCUAAACAAUGAUGAGGAGUUAAAUCUCCAGACCAGUGAAGACCAUCAUAUCUUCCAGUGGCUCAAACUGCAGGCACGCAGGGGAGCAGCUGAAGCCGAGCAAGCAAUUGGCCGCAUGCUGUUCUGGGGUCAGCAGGGAGUGUCUCCAAACAUCCAGAAAGCUGUGAGACAUUAUGAAAGAGGAGCUGUCCACUGGGAGGACCCGGUGUCAAUGUAUGACUAUGGCAUAGUCCUACUGCAGGGACAUGGAGUUGAAAAGGACAUUCCAAAAGCCAUCACUUUCCUGAAGAGAGCAAUGGACAAGGGUUUUGCUCCCGCGAUCAACGCCCUGGCCUGGUACUAUGAGAAGUUUGAGCUGGACUACAAGCAGGCAGUGCAGCUGUGGGAGCAGGCCGAUCUACUCAAGAGUCCAGACGCAGCUUUGAAUCUUGGUGUCAUGUAUUCACAGGGUCUGUAUCCAGGGAAAGCUGCUGACCAGUUUAUGGCCUAUCAGUACUAUCUGAAAUCUGCAGAAAGAGGGCACAUCAGGGGAGCAGUUCAGCUUGCUGACAUCUGGACCACUGGGAUACCAGGCCUCAUCAAUAGAAGCCCAUCAGAUGCUGUUUUGUGGGUAAAAUGGGCAGCUGAGCACAACGGAUACCUGGGCAGCAUCUUGCGGAAAGCUUUGAAUUCGUAUCUCAUGAGUGACAGGUUCAGCUCACUGUUAUAUUACAUGAUGGCUGCCGAGUCCGGAUACGCGGCUGCCCAAUUCAAUGUGGCAUAUCUAUGUGAACAAAAUAAGUUGGCGUUUCUGGAUCCUGAUUUUGCAUCAGACUGCAUGUGGAGAUAUUACAACCUUACAAUCCAAAGUCAAAAUCCAGAUCCAUAUGCCUUGAUUAGGAUGGGUGACCUGUUGUAUGAGGGGCAGGGUCACAGACAGAAGGACUUGUUUUCUGCAGCGGAGAUGUACACACUAGCAGCACUAAGGGACGAUCCACAGGGAUGGUACAACCUUGGCCUCCUCACUGAAGAGGGCUUCAGGCUGCCGCUGUCAGUGCUGGCUGAACUUGGCCUGUCAGAGCUGUACUUGGCUGACAACAGCUUGCUUCUAAGUGCUUUGUACAAAAGAUGCAGAGACUCGGGAGAUGCACAUUCAUAUUUGCCCUGCAGCCUUGCCCUCCUCAAUGUUUAUCUUCAGACUUUCCAAAAGGAAUAUAGUGCUGCUAUUAAGUUCUCCACUGCUGUUGCCGUGGUUGUAGCUCCGAUGAUACUCGUAAUCAUCGGUGUGCUCAGGAGACCCGUUGUGUCCGCCCCUUAGAGCCAAGAUGCUUAUCGGGAUUGUCAGAGCAAUAAAGGAGGGACCGAACUGCAAAGUCAACCUGCACACCGGUAGCAUGGCAACAUUUUUCACUUGUGAUGAUUCCCUCAGCUGGUCAUCUGGACUCAAGGCUUUCCUAAUGUGACACAUGCUCCGUACAUUACCUUAAAUUUGAUGUUGCAAGAUUAUAUAAUUAAGUAUCUGUUGAUGGAACUCCUUUGUGUGAACAGAUCUCCCAUAUUUUAAAAAGUCAGAAUUUAGACUUCAAAAUUUGGAGUUAUAGUAUAGACAUAGUGACAUCUUCAUAGAGGAAAUUUGAUGGUCAUUCAUAAAACAGUGUUGACUCUUGCUAUAGUACACUGCAGCACUGAUUUAGCACAACACUGUUUAUGUCAUAAAUGAUUGAAAUCACCACAAAGUUGUUGUUUAAUUCAUAAAUAUAUUAGAGAUAACUCUUCAAUUUCUGGAGGCCAAAUGUUUAAUUCUUAUAGCCAUUGUGUAUCGUUUGUAUUAAUGGAUCUGUUUGUGUUUGUUACAUUGUUACAUUAUGUUAUGUAUUAUUUCCACACAACACACUGCUGCUCUUAUCGAGUAUUUGCUUGAGAAUUUCUUGCAACUCGCAUACCACCAGCCAAAAUCAAGCAAGCAAUUACAGACACUUGAGAGACUCCUGAGACCGAGUCCAGUCAACUCUCAACAUCUCAUUAACACCGGCAAACGAGUUUAAUUGCUUUGCUUCUUUUUGUUGGAAUAAUUUAGGAUUUGCUGAGGCUUAUGAUGGGGAGGAUGGUGAGGAUGGGAUUUAAACAAGCUCUGACAUGUGUACUUUUUUAUCAGCUAAGAAAAAAAAAAUACUGCUGUCAUUGCUGGUGAACUUAAUAUUUUCAAGAAGGUUUCCUGCACAAAUACAAUUCCUGCCAUGCUCUUGAUUAAAAAAUGUAUAGGACAGAUGUGUGCACCCUGUGGAAUAUAUUCUUUCUCAUUAAUACACUUAUGGAGGAAUUCGUCCUGACCAUGAUUUCUUGUCUCCUGACAAUCAUUUGCCAGAUACGUUUGGCCUGGCAUCUUGUGAAUGUUGUUAUCCUUGAGCAUGCCAAGGUCAUGUCCACAGUAUUUUACAGUAUUUCUCAAAGAUUACUUUUUUUUCCCCAUUUUUCCCUCGUAACAGUUAUCCUCAGUUUCCAGUAUUUAAAGGCCCAUUUAUUUAAAUCUGACUGGCAUAUUUUUGGGCCAUAAUAAAUAAAUUAAUUAAUUGUUGAACGUUUGCAUGUUAGGUAAUGGAAUUUACUGAAACAGUAACUGAACAGGCUUAGUACAGUAAUGCAUCAAUAAAUGUAAAAAACAAAAACUAUAAUAAAACUUUAU